Molecule: ribosomal RNA, 484 nt
Filed under: uncultured bacterium
Lineage: Bacteria
Description: partial 16S ribosomal RNA
Rfam family: Bacterial small subunit ribosomal RNA
Source: RNAcentral
AUUGAACGCUGGCGGCAGGCCUAACACAUGCAAGUCGAGCGGAUGAAGGGGGCUUGCUCCUGGAUUCAGCGGCGGACGGGUGAGUAAUGCCUAGGAAUCUGCCUGGUAGUGGGGGAUAACGUCCGGAAACGGGCGCUAAUACCGCAUACGUCCUGAGGGAGAAAGUGGGGGAUCUUCGGACCUCACGCUAUCAGAUGAGCCUAGGUCGGAUUAGCUAGUUGGUGGGGUAAAGGCCUACCAAGGCGACGAUCCGUAGCUGGUCUGAGAGGAUGAUCAGUCACACUGGAACUGAGACACGGUCCAGACUCCUACGGGAGGCAGCAGUGGGGAAUAUUGGACAAUGGGCGAAAGCCUGAUCCAGCCAUGCCGCGUGUGUGAAGAUGGUCUUCGGAUUGUAAAGCACUUUAAGUUGGGAGGAAGGGCAGUAAGUUAAUACCUUGCUGUUUUGACGUUACCAACAGAAUAAGCACCGGCUAACUUCGUG